This 447-nucleotide ribosomal RNA is filed under the name uncultured bacterium. RNAcentral describes it as "partial 16S ribosomal RNA". It matches the Rfam family "Bacterial small subunit ribosomal RNA", at positions 29 to 523 of the family's 1533-position model. The record is from RNAcentral.
AACGAACGCUGGCGGCAGGCCUAAUACAUGCAAGUCGAGGGGCCCGUAAGGGCACCGGCGCACGGGUGCGUAACGCGUGGGAAUAUACCCCUCACUACGGAACAACGUCGGGAAACUGACGCUAAUACCGUAUGAUGACUCCGGUCCAAAGAUUUAUCGGUGAAGGAUUAGCCCGCGUCUGAUUAGCUAGUUGGUGAGGUAACGGCUCACCAAGGCGACGAUCAGUAGCUGGUCUGAGAGGAUGAUCAGCCACACUGGGACUGAGACACGGCCCAGACUCCUACGGGAGGCAGCAGUAAGGAAUAUUGGACAAGGGAGGAAACUCUGGUCCAGCCAUGCCGCGUGAGGGAAGAAGGCCUUCGGGUUGUAAAGCUCUUUUAAUCGUGAAGAUAAUGACGGUAGCGAUAGAAAAAGCUCCGGCUAAAUUCGUGCCAGCCGCCGCGGUAA